Molecule: ribosomal RNA, 496 nt
Filed under: uncultured bacterium
Lineage: Bacteria
Description: partial 16S ribosomal RNA
Rfam family: Bacterial small subunit ribosomal RNA
Source: RNAcentral
GAUGAACGCUGGCGGCGUGCCUAAUACAUGCAAGUCGAGCGAACAGACGAGGAGCUUGCUCCUCUGACGUUAGCGGCGGACGGGUGAGUAACACGUGGAUAACCUACCUAUAAGACUGGGAUAACUUCGGGAAACCGGAGCUAAUACCGGAUAAUAUAUUGAACCGCAUGGUUCAAUAGUGAAAGACGGUUUUGCUGUCACUUAUAGAUGGAUCCGCGCCGCAUUAGCUAGUUGGUAAGGUAACGGCUUACCAAGGCAACGAUGCGUAGCCGACCUGAGAGGGUGAUCGGCCACCCUGGAACGGAGACACGGUCCAGACCCCUACGGGGGGCAGCAGUGGGGAAUCUUCCGAAAGGGGCGAAAGCCUGACGGAGAAACGCCGGGGGAGGGAUGAAGGUUUUCGGAUCGAAAAACUUUUUUAUUAGGGAAAAAAAAAUGGGAAAGUAACUAUGCACGUUUUGACGGUACCUAAGCAGAAAGCCACGGCUAACUACGU